This is a non-coding RNA of Meleagris gallopavo (turkey), 1392 nucleotides long. NCBI's taxonomy places the organism in Eukaryota, Metazoa, Chordata, Aves, Galliformes, Phasianidae. The record is from RefSeq and is a predicted model, not a curated record.
AAAUGGCUGCACCUGUGGUCUGAAUCAGAUGUUCACAAUCAGGUAAUUAGUGCUUUCGUACAUAGUGUGGUCCCUGGGGUUGAGGACUGUGAGUUGGUUUUAGACUGGUUAGUGGUCUUAUUGUUGAGAAGUCUUACAGCUAAUGUUCUAAAGGACCUCUUGGAUUGACACCUUGCUUAACUGAGUGGUUGUGUUUUACUGAAUUUUUCCGUUGCUGAAGAAUCCAUCAGAGCCUUUGAACCCUGAAGCAAGGACUUUCAGUGGCUUCAUGUCUGCAUCAACCUGUGUCAUACCCAGAUGAAUUCCACAAUGAAGUCAUUUCUGAUGCAGACCUUCCAUGUUUGUUCCCUGUCUACAGACCACGAGCUCUCUCAGGUUCAAGGAAGCAAGACUCACGAUCCUGCUUACAGAAUGUGCCUGUUUUGCAGUCAUGGAGGCACCCGGCCAGAUGAGGUUCAAGCUGGUCUGCAUUGAUUUGAACUUAAGGUAGUGUUGGAACUGCUGUAUUACCUGGAAGAACUCUGGAUUCCGGUUAAGUUCAUUUUGAUCCCGGUCAUAUCGGCUGCUUAAAGUGUACUUACACACAGCUUGAGCCUGUCUGGAUGCUGUUCUUCCUCUUCAGUCAUUUCUCUCUUCUGCCCUGAUUUGUAUUCCUGCCCUCCAGCGUAACGUUAUUCCGAAACCUCUCAUUCUCCUGUGCAGGGGAAGUAAAUUGUAUGUCCCAAACAGGAAAGAUUUUGGCCCAGGAGAUUUGAAGAGAAAGGGAUGCUCAGCUGGUAGGUUUCUGAGAGCUGAUGACUUAGCAGAGUUUCUGAAAGAACUGCUACCAGGCUGAACUUGAAUGUUGUGGGGUUUGUGUCACUGUCCUUGUUUCAAGCUCUCCUUCAAUCCUCACUUUGACUUUAGUUGCAUUUGUGGAUGUAUUUUCCGCUGUUAAGACUGCAAUCAACUGAUUGAAAUCCAUAAAUAAUAACCAAGUUUCAAUUUAAGAUGCAGUAACAGGAUGCUAUUGGGAUAACUUUUAUGUACGUGAGAAGCUUUUUAUAGCUCACUCCCCCCGGAGACCAAUCUUGGCCAGCCCCUGGCAGUGGGAAGGCCCUGGCUCUACCGCCAGCUUCUUGCAGGCCAAUCCCACACUGCACCAGCAGCAGGGAUGCUCACACAGCCAUCUGUGGCAGUGCUGCACCACGAGGCCUGCUGUGGUGCUCGGCUGAGCUUUAGGGGUCACAGGCAAGGUGGCAUUAAAAUAACUGCGAGAAACAGAAAAAGCAAGACAGACUAACAUGAAAAAACACAUUUUAUUGCACUUAAGUUAUAAGAAAAUAAAAUUUCUAAGUGAAUCAAACCAUAGACACAGUCCCUUUAAACGUUGUUUUCCUCCAUCUUGUCAGG